UGUAGAAAAGGUGGAAAAAUUCGAUGCGUCCACACUCAAUUGAAAAAUUGAUAAGAGAUGAGGGAGAAAGCGUCGCCCUCUUUCUAUG
Molecule: non-coding RNA, 88 nt
Submitted as: unclassified sequences
Source: Rfam